Molecule: ribosomal RNA, 423 nt
Filed under: uncultured bacterium
Lineage: Bacteria
Description: partial 16S ribosomal RNA
Rfam family: Bacterial small subunit ribosomal RNA
Source: RNAcentral
GAAUAUUGGACAAUGGGGGGAACCCUGAUCCAGCCAUGCCGCGUGUGUGAAGAAGGCCUUUUGGUUGUAAAGCACUUUAAGCGAGGAGGAGGCUACUCUAGUUAAUACCUAGAGAUAGUGGACGUUACUCGCAGAAUAAGCACCGGCUAACUCUGUGCCAGCAGCCGCGGUAAUACAGAGGGUGCAAGCGGUAAUCGGAUUUACUGGGCGGAAAACGCGCGUAAGUGGCCAAAUAAAGCAAAUUUGAAAACCCCGGGGUUAACGUGGGAAAUUGAUUCGAUACUGGGUGGCUAGAGUAGUGGAGAGGAUGGUAGAAUUCCAAGUGGAGCGGUGAAAUGCGUAGAGAUCUGGAGGAAUACCGAUGGCGAAGGCAGCCAUCUUGCCUAAUACUGACACUGGGGUGCGAAAGCAUGGGGAGCAAAC